UUCCAGCUCCAGCAGCGUAUAUUUAUAUUGCUGCGUUUAAAAAGCUCGUAGUUGAAGCGUCAGACACGGGAGGGCGGACGGCCGCACUGGUCGCUCUCGCCCGACCGGGCCAGGCGCAGAGGGUGUCCGCCGCUUGCACUUCACCGUGUGAGCGCGGCGCCGCUGCACGUUCACCUUGAAGAAAUUGAACCGCUUAGAGGGGGCGAGCAGCUUGAACAGCUCAGCAUGGUAUGAUGGAACAUGGGCUCGUACACGUUUUGUUGGUUCUAGUGUUGGCGAGCCAAUGAUUAAGAGGGACUGCCGGGGGCAUUAGUACUCGGACGGGAGAGGUGAAAUUCAAGGAUCGUCCGAGGACUUCCUACUGCGAAAGCAUUUGCCAAGAAUGUUUUCAUUAAUCAAGAACGAAAGUCAGAGGUGCGAAGGCGAUCAGAUACCGCCGUAGUUCUGACCGUAAACGAUGCCGACUGGCAAUUGGGCGCACUUCUGACGAAGUUGCCGCCAGCAGUAUUGCUCCUGGGAAACCAAAGUCAUUGGGUUCCGGGGGGAGUAUGGUUGCAAAGCUGAAACUUAAAGGAAUUGACGGAAGGGCACCACUAGGAGUGGAGCCUGCGGCUUAAUUUGACUCAACACGGGAAAACUCACCCGGCCCGAACACUGUUAUGACAGACAGGUUGAGAGCUCUUUCUCGAUUCAGUGGUUGGUGGUGCAUGGCCGUUCUUAGUUCGUGGAGCGAUCUGUCUGGUUAAUUCCGAUAACGAACGAGACUCUUGCCUGCUAAAUAGACGGCGCCGACGUGCACGGCGACCGCAUGCUUCUUAGAGGGACAAGCGGCUUUUAGCCGCGUGAAGCGGAGAGCAAUAACAGGUCAGUGAUGCCCUCAGAUGUUCGGGGCCGCACGCGCGCUACACUGUUUGCAUCAGCGUGUCUACCCUCGCCGGCCGGCGUGGGCAACCCGUUGAAACGCAAACGUGCUAGGGCUCGGAGAUUGCAAUUAUUCUCCGUCAACGAGGAAUUCCUUGUACUUGUGAGUCAUCAGCUCGCGGGGAAUCUGUCCCUGCCCUU
This 1062-nucleotide ribosomal RNA is filed under the name uncultured eukaryote. RNAcentral's name for it is "SSU rRNA". It matches the Rfam family "Eukaryotic small subunit ribosomal RNA", at positions 583 to 1660 of the family's 1831-position model. The record is from RNAcentral.